This 584-nucleotide ribosomal RNA is filed under the name uncultured bacterium. Its description in RNAcentral is "partial 16S ribosomal RNA". It matches the Rfam family "Bacterial small subunit ribosomal RNA", at positions 355 to 937 of the family's 1533-position model. The record is from RNAcentral.
UGGGGAAUUUUGGACAAUGGGCGCAAGCCUGAUCCAGCCAUGCCGCGUGCGGGAAGAAGGCCUUCGGGUUGUAAACCGCUUUUGUCAGGGAAGAAAUCUUCUGAGUUAAUACCUCGGGAGGAUGACGGUACCUGAAGAAUAAGCACCGGCUAACUACGUGCCAGCAGCCGCGGUAAUACGUAGGGUGCAAGCGUUAAUCGGAAUUACUGGGCGUAAAGCGUGCGCAGGCGGUUUUGUAAGACAGAGGUGAAAUCCCCGGGCUCAACCUGGGAACUGCCUUUGUGACUGCAAGGCUUGAGUGCGGCAGAGGGGGAUGGAAUUCCGCGUGUAGCAGUGAAAUGCGUAGAUAUGCGGAGGAACACCGAUGGCGAAGGCAAUCCCCUGGGCCUGCACUGACGCUCAUGCACGAAAGCGUGGGGAGCAAACAGGAUUAGAUACCCUGGUAGUCCACGCCCUAAACGAUAUCAACUGGUUGUUGGGAAGGUUCCUUCUCAGUAACGUAGCUAACGCGUGAAGUUGACCGCCUGGGGAGUACGGCCGCAAGGUUGAAACUCAAAUGAAUUGACGGGGUCAUAGCUGUUUCC